This is a long non-coding RNA of Papaver somniferum (opium poppy), 978 nucleotides long. RefSeq lists it as uncharacterized. The record is from RefSeq and is a predicted model, not a curated record. The transcript has 4 exons. NCBI's taxonomy places the organism in Eukaryota, Viridiplantae, Streptophyta, Magnoliopsida, Ranunculales, Papaveraceae.
ACUAGCUGUCACCUUGUUUGCUAAAUCAGUAUCAAAAUCUCAAAGGUUCUAAUUUUAUUUUCUUUCCUUUCAUUCUAUCGUUCUCCUCUCCAGAUGAAAUCCCAACUUUGUCAUAUCUCCUCAUCUUCAUCCUUCUAUUAAGAACCAGAAAGAAAACCAAUUUUCUUCUUGUAACCUUCUUCAUCUCUCCAGAUCCAAUGGCUAAUUACCUUAACCAAUCGACCUUCAUGAACCUAAAAGCUACCACUACGAACCAGAAAGAAAAACUCAACCAUUAAAAUUCCUUCUUCUAAAAUCAUUUCUUUGAAACCCUUACCUUCAAAAUAAACCCAUUUUCUAUUGUUCUUGAAUCAAUUUCAUGUUCGAAAGAAUCCCAUUUUAUUUUCACAAUUUCCUUUUCGUGCUUGUUAGGGGUUUGAUUUUCUACAAACUUUGUCAGCAAUUGCUAGAAGAACAUUUAACAUCUUUGAAGAUUUCCAGCCUUCAGAUCGUUGGUGGUGGUGGAGGUUGUGUGGACUGAACUGGUGCUGGUGACUGGAUGCUUGGAGAGGGAAUCAAUUAGUUUGAUGAAGCAUUGGUGGUGAUGGUAACCAGCUCGUUGGGGGUGGUGGAGGUUGUAUGGAGUGAACUGGUGGUGGUGAAGAGGUGUUUGGAGAGGGAGAGCAAUUUGCAGGUGUUGUUGAAAGGGUGAAUAUGAUCUAGCACUUGUGGGAAAGGUCUUCUUUGGUAGUGUUGUUGGUGCAAAUUCAGGCCAAUCUCUUGCUUGACAAGCACCAUUAGGUGCAGGGUUACCUAAUACUGUAAUCUGCACUACCACAAACAAAGUUUGGGCAUCAUGAAUGAAAGUAAUGAAGAAAUAUGGCUUAUAUGCUGCAAUCUGUGCUUCCGUAGCAAUGCUAAGUAUCUGGUGCUAUUCCUCGAAGAUUCACAGGGCUACCUGGAGCUGUGCAAUUCCAAAUGAAAAUUGUUAACAAUAAG